AGUGAACGCUGGCGGUAGGCCUAACACAUGCAAGUCGAACGGCAGCACAGUAAGAGCUUGCUCUUACGGGUGGCGAGUGGCGGACGGGUGAGGAAUACAUCGGAAUCUACUUUUUCGUGGGGGAUAACGUAGGGAAACUUACGCUAAUACCGCAUACGACCUACGGGUGAAAGCAGGGGAUCUUCGGACCUUUCGCGAUUGAAUGAGCCGAUGUCGGAUUAGCUAGUUGGCGGGGUAAAGGCCCACCAAGGCGACGAUCCGUAGCUGGUCUGAGAGGAUGAUCAGCCACACUGGAACUGAGACACGGUCCAGACUCCUACGGGAGGCAGCAGUGGGGAAUAUUGGACAAUGGGCGCAAGCCUGAUCCAGCCAUACCGCGUGGGUGAAGAAGGUCUUCGGGUUGUAAAGCCCUUUUGUCGGGAAAGAAAAGCAGCAGGUUAAUACCCCGCUGUUCUGACGGUACCCAAAGAAUAAGCACCGGCUAACUUCGUG
RNAcentral lists this ribosomal RNA (492 nucleotides) under uncultured bacterium. RNAcentral describes it as "partial 16S ribosomal RNA". It matches the Rfam family "Bacterial small subunit ribosomal RNA", at positions 29 to 507 of the family's 1533-position model. The record is from RNAcentral.